AGAGUUUGAUCCUGGCUCAGGACGAACGCUGGCGGCGCGCCUAACACAUGCAAGUCGAACGAGCGAGAGAGAGCUUGCUUACUUGAGCGAGUGGCGAACGGGUGAGUAACGCGUGAGGAACCUGCCUCAAAGAGGGGGACAACAGUUGGAAACGACUGCUAAUACCGCAUAAGCCCACGGCUCGGCAUCGAGCAGAGGGAAAAGGAGCAAUCCGCUUUGAGAUGGCCUCGCGUCUGAUUAGCUAGUUGGUGAGGUAAUGGCCCACCAAGGCGACGAUUGGUAGCCGGACUGAGAGGUUGAACGGCCACAUUGGGACUGAGACACGGCCCAAACUCCUACGGGAGGCAGCAGUGGGGAAUAUUGCACAAUGGGGGAAACCCUGAUGCAGCGACGCCGCGUGAGUGAUGAAGUAUUUCGGUAUGUAAAGCUCUAUCAGCAGGGAAGAUAAUGACGGUACCUGACUAAGAAGCACCGGCUAAAUACGUGCCAGCAGCCGCGGUAAUACGUAUGGUGCAAGCGUUAUCCGGAUUUACUGGGUGUAAAGGGUGCGUAGGUGGUGAGACAAGUCUGAAGUGAAAAUCCGGGGCUUAACCCCGGAACUGCUUUGGAAACUGCCUGACUAGAGUACAGGAGAGGUAAGUGGAAUUCCUAGUGUAGCGGUGAAAUGCGUAGAUAUUAGGAGGAACACCAGUGGCGAAGGCGACUUACUGGACUGCUACUGACACUGAGGCACGAAAGCAUGGGUAGCAAACAGGAUUAGAUACCCUGGUAGUCCAUGCCGUAAACGAUGAUUACUAGGUGUUGGGGGAUUGACCCCCUCAGUGCCGCAGUUAACACAAUAAGUAAUCCACCUGGGGAGUACGACCGCAAGGUUGAAACUCAAAGGAAUUGACGGGGGCCCGCACAAGCAGUGGAGUAUGUGGUUUAAUUCGAAGCAACGCGAAGAACCUUACCAGGUCUUGACAUCCGAUGCAUAGCACAGAGAUGUGUGAAAUCCUUCGGGACAUCGAGACAGGUGGUGCAUGGUUGUCGUCAGCUCGUGUCGUGAGAUGUUGGGUUAAGUCCCGCAACGAGCGCAACCCUUAUCUUUAGUAGCCAGCAAUUAGGAUGGGCACUCUAGAGAGACUGCCAGGGAUAACCUGGAGGAAGGUGGGGAUGACGUCAAAUCAUCAUGCCCCUUAUGGGCAGGGCUACACACGUGCUACAAUGGCGUAAACAAAGGGAAGCAGAGUCGUGAGGCCGAGCAAAUCUCAAAAAUAACGUCUCAGUUCGGAUUGUAGUCUGCAACUCGACUACAUGAAGCUGGAAUCGCUAGUAAUCGCGAAUCAGAAUGUCGCGGUGAAUACGUUCCCGGGUCUUGCACUCACCGCCCGUCA
This 1376-nucleotide ribosomal RNA is filed under the name uncultured bacterium. RNAcentral describes it as "bacterial SSU rRNA". It matches the Rfam family "Bacterial small subunit ribosomal RNA". The record is from RNAcentral.